UGGGAAUUUGAUCUCGUUGAGUUGCAGGUAAUUAUAAACAGGGACACUCUUGUGAGACUAUUGGCUAAGCACACAGAAAAUUCUGAGGAAACUGUUGCUAAUGUGAUGAGAAGGCCAUUUUACAUGGAUGCAACCAGAGCCAAGGACUUUGGUGUCGUAGACAAGGCAAGUUUCUUCAUGAUUGAUGCCUUUCUUCUAUCAAAUUAACAAUCUUACACUUGGCCCACGACUUAUCAGUUGGUUAACAGAUUGAGUUGUAUACACAUGCAAUUAUGAAAAAAACAAAUUUCGGCCACCAAUUAUCAAAAAUAAAUAGUUAGAAACUUGGAUCACAAAUUUGAACCAAAUCAGCCACCCUAAAUCAAUAUAUCUUCUUAUCCAUUUAUAUGAAAUUCCCCCAAAAAAAUCCCAUUAGACUACUCAAUUACAAUAUUCAGUACUUCUAGGUUUCCAAAAUAAAAAAAA
Chenopodium quinoa (quinoa) is the source of this 465-nucleotide long non-coding RNA. RefSeq lists it as uncharacterized. The record is from RefSeq and is a predicted model, not a curated record. The transcript is spliced from 2 exons. NCBI's taxonomy places the organism in Eukaryota, Viridiplantae, Streptophyta, Magnoliopsida, Caryophyllales, Amaranthaceae.